UACGAAGGGGGCUAGCGUUGCUCGGAAUCACUGGGCGUAAAGCGCACGUAGGCGGAUUGUUAAGUCAGGGGUGAAAUCCUGGAGCUCAACUCCAGAACUGCCUUUGAUACUGGCGAUCUUGAGUCCGGGAGAGGUGAGUGGAACUGCGAGUGUAGAGGUGAAAUUCGUAGAGAUCGGAAAGAACACCAACGGCGAAAGCACUCUGCUGGGCCGACACUGACACUGAGAGACGAAAGCUAGGGGAGCGAAUGGG
RNAcentral lists this ribosomal RNA (253 nucleotides) under uncultured bacterium. Its description in RNAcentral is "partial 16S ribosomal RNA". It matches the Rfam family "Bacterial small subunit ribosomal RNA", at positions 524 to 776 of the family's 1533-position model. The record is from RNAcentral.